AGAAUUAGUUGCAAAGCGGCUUUCUUGCGGGCAACACCGAGCGAAUCGAGGGACGGAGACCGAGGCGAACCGGAGAAGACUGCCACGCGAAAAGAAAAAUUGGUGCUAAGACCCCGGUAAAAAGAAAACAACAAAAGACAACAGCCCCAUCAAAAACCUCAAGCCAAACGGCGGGAGAAAAGUGCACAAAACACGCAUAAAAAGAUACAAGUUCCUAUUUAAGUGCCGGCCACUUAACACCGUCGAAGUAAAUCGAGUCGAGGCAAGCGGACCCGAGAUGCUCACCAGACAGCCCGACUACACCAUCUCCGAACUGGGCCAUCCCGUCCACCAGUGGCCGGAUUCGACCACGUGCGAGUCCCUCAAGAAACUGGACUACAGAAAGUUGCCAAGCUCGCCGCCCUCACCACAUCGCCUCCUGCCGCUGAGGGAGACCCUGGACGACUGCUUCAAGCGGUUGGCGACGAGGAGCAGAGAAGAUCUGGCGGACGAUCCCACAUACCAGCAGAAACAGCGGAAGAAUCAGUGGAACGAGCAGCAGCGAAAGCGCAGCAAUCAAAAAUGUCGCGAUAAAGUCGAGUCCCGAGCAACAGCAGCGACGACAACGAUAGCGAAGAGCUGCGAUCUGAACAACUUUUGAAAUCAAAACGAGGGAGCAGAACACCUAUGGGGGAGCCAACCUAAGCGGACUGAUUAAAUGUGCUAAAAUAAAACACCUUUUGCCUAGAACACUAACCACGCAGUUAGCAUACGAAAGUAUUCUAAAUGGAAUUUCAGCGGGCCCAUUAAAGUGUAAACACAACGCGGAGAAGAGUAGUGAGCAGAGCAGAACAGCACAGGCUGGCAGCCAAAUUUGGUAGGGAGACAUUGGGGCAGCCUUGAUCAUGAGCACGUCGCCAUGGGGCCAACAAAUUAAGGCUCGGACGUGCUUUCUUUAAAUGGCUAAACGCGUGCGAUCGGAGUAGACCUGAGUUCGCAGCGGAAGAGUCUGCGAUCAUCUAAUGCUGAUGGAAGUCCAACGUUGAUCAUGGAGUGGAAGGCGAAAUGGAGGAACGUCUGUCUAGACGUUAAAACGAGUCUUUACAUUUAGCACCAUAAAAAUAAGAUUGUUCUAACUACUGCGACAAAAAAAGGUUCCUAGGUUAACAUAUUAAAUUAAGUUGAAAAAAAUAGGGUAACCAAAGCUAAUUAUACAAAUUUUCAGGCAAUUAGUGAAUCUUUCUCUCUCUAAAUGUGAAAGAUUGAAAAUUUCAAUACUUCGGUUUUUAAUUUCUUCAGAGGAUCAAUCAAUUCAAUCCGAACUGAAAUAAAUUAAAACCGCAGUCGCAAAUAUAUCAAGCCAAUUAGACACAAUCGAUACAAUAAUGAAAUGGAUUGCCUUUUCUUGAGAUUUUCUUAAUUGCCCCUGCAUUUGUACUCUUUCCGGCACCCAAAGC
Drosophila biarmipes is the source of this 1436-nucleotide RNA transcript. RefSeq lists it as uncharacterized. Lineage: Eukaryota; Metazoa; Arthropoda; Insecta; Diptera; Drosophilidae. The record is from RefSeq and is a predicted model, not a curated record. The transcript is spliced from 4 exons.